Molecule: ribosomal RNA, 807 nt
Filed under: Salmonella enterica subsp. enterica serovar Dublin
Lineage: Bacteria; Pseudomonadati; Pseudomonadota; Gammaproteobacteria; Enterobacterales; Enterobacteriaceae
Description: partial 23S ribosomal RNA
Rfam family: Bacterial large subunit ribosomal RNA
Source: RNAcentral
AAAAGCGCAUGUGCUGUGAGCUCGAUGAGUAGGGCGGGACACGUGGUAUCCUGUCUGAAUAUGGGGGGACCAUCCUCCAAGGCUAAAUACUCCUGACUGACCGAUAGUGAACCAGUACCGUGAGGGAAAGGCGAAAAGAACCCCGGCGAGGGGAGUGAAAAAGAACCUGAAACCGUGUACGUACAAGCAGUGGGAGCACAGGUUUACCUGUGUGACUGCGUACCUUUUGUAUAAUGGGUCAGCGACUUAUAUUCUGUAGCAAGGUUAACCGAAUAGGGGAGCCGGAGGGAAACCGAGUCUUAAUUGGGCGUUAAGUUGCAGGGUAUAGACCCGAAACCCGGUGAUCUAGCCAUGGGCAGGUUGAAGGUUGGGUAACACUAACUGGAGGACCGAACCGACUAAUGUUGAAAAAUUAGCGGAUGACCUGUGGCUGGGGGUGAAAGGCCAAUCAAACCGGGAGAUAGCUGGUUCUCCCCGAAAGCUAUUUAGGUAGCGCCUCGUGAAUUCAUCUCCGGGGGUAGAGCACUGUUUCGGCUAGGGGGCCAUCCCGGCUUACCAACCCGAUGCAAACUGCGAAUACCGGAGAAUGUUAUCACGGGAGACACACGGCGGGUGCUAACGUCCGUCGUGAAGAGGGAAACAACCCAGACCGCCAGCUAAGGUCCCAAAGUCAUGGUUAAGUGGGAAACGAUGUGGGAAGGCCCAGACAGCCAGGAUGUUGGCUUAGAAGCAGCCAUCAUUUAAAGAAAGCGUAAUAGCUCACUGGUCGAGUCGGCCUGCGCGGAAGAUGUAACGGGGCUAAACCAU